RNAcentral lists this long non-coding RNA (535 nucleotides) under Musa acuminata (dwarf banana). Its description in RNAcentral is "long non-coding RNA (MACU_LNC001371)". The record is from RNAcentral. Lineage: Eukaryota; Viridiplantae; Streptophyta; Magnoliopsida; Zingiberales; Musaceae.
AAGAACAUAGAGAAGCGGAGGAUCAGCGCCAAACAAACGAAUCUUCUUCGCUUUGAUCUCCUCCUCAUCGCCGAACCAGAAGUGCUUCAGGAAGUUCAUGUGCCUCGGUAUACGGUGCCACCAUGUAAAGAUUUCAUUCAAGUAACCUUGGUCUCCACCAUUGUAGGAUUCUAUCUCGUUGAUAUGUUCCAUUAACAGCUGAAACGUGCAGUUGGAAGGCUCGACAACCAUCACGCCCGAGUUGAAGAACGUCACGUUGUUUCCUGUGGCGGUGAUCUCAGGCAUAGUGAACAAGAAAUCAAUGUUUCGUAGGAUGAGAAGGUCUGCGUCGAUGAAUAUGAUCUUGUCAUACUCCGUGAGCUGCCAAAGCCUGAAUUUGCUGUAGUUCCACUCGUUGUAAGCGUCACGCUCGGCCUUGGGAUUUCGGAUCCUUGUGAUAGUUUUGAUCUUCCAUCCUGCAGCUUCGAGACCGCCUCUGUGGUGAUCACUGACUGUUUCAUCAACGAGGAUCACUAGGUCUCUCUUUGAUCCUGCU